GGCCAGAUGUGUCCGAAGUCGGUCCUCAAGGGCCGCUGUCCUGCCUGUUUUCCAGCUCGCCCAGGAGCAACACACCUGAUUCAAAUACGGGUAAUCAGGAACAUUCUAAUGCUGCUUCAGAGAUGGCUGAUGAGCUGAUCAUCUGAAUCAGGUGUGUUGCAGCCGGGAGAGCUGGAAAACAGGCAGAACAGUGGCCCUCCAGGCUUCGAGCUGGACAUAUGCCUGCUUUAGGCUCUGUUAACUACAUAUUUUUUUGCACAAGGGACAAGUGUGUCCGUAUAAACAGCACAUGCAAAACAGAUCACUGCAUUUUUGCAUCCAACUUCCUCUUUUAGACACUUCAAAGCUACAAGUUGAUUUUGAGCACAAGGACAAGGUUACAGCCUCUUUGGGGCCAUCGUGGUGUAAUAUUACCCUGCCACAGUCUCAGGCAAUAGUGUCACUUAUUAAUCAUUGACCCACCGGCUGGUGUUAGGUUCACUUGACUGAGGAUCAUGUUCGCAGUGCUGGGGGUGAUGAUACAUCAAACAAUUUUAUUUUUGGAAAUCAACAUAGAUUACAGAGGUGCCUCAGAGAGUAUAAUAUAAAUUUACUGGAUGUACAAAAAAAUUCAAUAUAAUGGAAUGCCAUACAUAUAAAACUUUUAAAACGUGAUAUUUUGGGGUUGGGGGGGGGGGGGAUUAUGAAUUAGAUAUGAAUAAAAUAAAAAGGAAAAGC
Molecule: long non-coding RNA, 717 nt
Organism: Hippocampus zosterae (dwarf seahorse)
Lineage: Eukaryota; Metazoa; Chordata; Actinopteri; Syngnathiformes; Syngnathidae
Exons: 2
Source: RefSeq, a predicted model, not a curated record